CACGUAGGCGGAUAUUUAAGUCAGGGGUGAAAUCCCAGAGCUCAACUCUGGAACUGCCUUUGAUACUGGGUAUCUUGAGUAUGGAAGAGGUAAGUGGAACUGCGAGUGUAGAGGUGAAAUUCGUAGAUAUUCGCAAGAACACCAGUGGCGAAGGCGGCUCACUGGCCCGAUACUGACGCUGAGGCACGAAAGCGUGGGGAGCAAACA
Molecule: ribosomal RNA, 207 nt
Filed under: uncultured bacterium
Lineage: Bacteria
Description: partial 16S ribosomal RNA
Rfam family: Bacterial small subunit ribosomal RNA
Source: RNAcentral